AUACUUUGAGAUUUGUAUAUUUUGAGACCAAAGAUGAUGCCAACUUUGAUGAGACUUGAUGGGCCUAUGCACCCUGCUUGUCAUGCAUGCGCAUGGGAAAAGCCUUGUGUUCAGCUAUGCACAUGCGCAGAGCACGCGAACGCGUGCAUACACGGCACUUCUCCACACGUGCCAUGCAGACUGCAGAGGCCCAGAUUUGACGAGACGCAAUCAGCUCCCAUAAUUGUGCCUUCCUCAAUCAUUGAAAUCGUGGUCAUCUCCUGAGGGACAGCAAGUUAAGAAGUGAGAUUUUGCGAUAGCCGAACAAAGAAAACCAGACGAAUACGUAUAACUGCGCUCUAGAGUGUGCCGGCGAAUCAGCCAUUAACUCUCGAUUCGCCAAAGCAGUGUUACAGUGCACAGUGAAUAAAUCGAUUUAACUACGAGGAAUAAAAAUUGAGUAUUACUUCAAAUAAAUUUCCAAACUGGAUAUAAGCGAAAGGACAAAAAAAAAAGUCACUGUCUUAUGAUGGUUCCGUGAUGAAGCUAGCUAAUGCUUGGAGGCUUUAAAAGACGAUUUCUAAAGUCGACUGUCGUUGUAUAACGAUUUAGAAUUGUAUUAAAGCGAUCAGUAUUAUUACCAAACGCCAAAAAAUUGCAAUAAAAUAUGGCCCAAUGAUGUGGUCCCCGAGAAUACCCGCCCAAACAUUCACUGACCACUUGACUUGGCUGUGCGCUUGCGGCAUCCAGUGAGGAUUCUCGGUGGCCCAGUAAUGCAUAUUGUGGCGGUUGACGUUGCCAUUAUUAUGAAAAAUACAUUCAUCCGAAAAUAAAAUGUAUUUGGAAAAAUAAUAAUUUUCUUCUAUUUUAUUAAGAAACCACCGACAAUAUCUCAAUCUGCGCGUCUCAUCAAUAAUAUGCAGUUCUUGAGUCCAGAUUGCUUUAUACUAUAAAGUUUAUAGGGAUGAAAGUGAUCCGAUUUUAGAGCCUUACAUACCAUUGUCUGGCUAACUCCAUGUACCUGCGCUAUAGUUCGUGUACCAAUAGUUGGUUCGUUAAGAGCCAUUUCUUGUAUAGGCGCGGUAUCAAUGGGCCGUAGUCGUCCUGUACAAAAAAAUUAAAAAAAAAA
This is a long non-coding RNA of Monomorium pharaonis (pharaoh ant), 1108 nucleotides long. RefSeq lists it as uncharacterized. The record is from RefSeq and is a predicted model, not a curated record. The transcript is spliced from 3 exons. Lineage: Eukaryota; Metazoa; Arthropoda; Insecta; Hymenoptera; Formicidae.